GUGAAUCAUCAAAUCUUUGAACGCAAAUUGCACUCUCUUCGGAGAGUAUGCCUGUUUGAGGGUCAGCCUAAAAAAAAAAAUCGACAUAUUCGCUGUUUCGCGGUUACAUUCGUCGGAAAUUUGGUUAUCUUAAACCUUUGGGUUUUAAGCGUCUUAAAAUUUUCUUUACGGUUCCACGAACGUUUCGAUGAUUUACUUCUUAUACGUUUAAGGUAACGACCUUCAUUAGACGUUGCCGUUGCA
RNAcentral lists this unclassified non-coding RNA (243 nucleotides) under Glomus sp. RNAcentral's name for it is "partial contains 5.8S ribosomal RNA and internal transcribed spacer 2". The stretch from base 1 to 65 matches the Rfam family "5.8S ribosomal RNA", at positions 84 to 154 of the family's 154-position model. Lineage: Eukaryota; Fungi; Glomeromycota; Glomeromycetes; Glomerales; Glomeraceae. The record is from RNAcentral.